RNAcentral lists this ribosomal RNA (620 nucleotides) under uncultured bacterium. RNAcentral's name for it is "bacterial SSU rRNA". It matches the Rfam family "Bacterial small subunit ribosomal RNA", at positions 104 to 719 of the family's 1533-position model. The record is from RNAcentral.
GGGUGAGUAACGCGUAUCCAACCUGCCCCCAACCGCCGCACAGCCCGCCGAAAGGCGGAUUAAUUCGGCAUGAGGUCCGGCGACGGCAUCAUAUCCGGACGAAAGGAUUUUAUCCGGUUGGGGAUGGGGAUGCGUCCGAUUAGGCAGCAGGCGGGGUGACGGCCCACCUGGCCGGCGAUCGGUAGGGGUUCUGAGAGGAAGGUCCCCCACAUUGGAACUGAGACACGGUCCAAACUCCUACGGGAGGCAGCAGUGAGGAAUAUUGGUCAAUGGGCGCAGGCCUGAACCAGCCAAGUAGCGUGUGGGACGACGGCCCUACGGGUUGUAAACCACUUUUGCGCGGGGAUAACAAGCGGGACUCGUCCCGCCCUGCAGGUACCGCGCGAAUAAGGACCGGCUAAUUCCGUGCCAGCAGCCGCGGUAAUACGGAAGGUCCGGGCGUUAUCCGGAUUUAUUGGGUUUAAAGGGAGCGUAGGCGGGAUGUCAAGCGUGCUGUGAAAAGCUGCGGCUCAACCGUAGUCGUGCAGCGCGAACUGGCUUCCUUGAGUGCGCGGGAGGCACGCGGAAUUCGUGGUGUAGCGGUGAAAUGCUUAGAUAUCACGAGGAACCCCGAUUGCGAA